CAAGUCGAGCGAGCGGAACCACAGAUUUACUUCGGUAAUGACGUUGGGAAAGCGAGCGGCGGAUGGGUGAGUAACACGUGGGGAACCUGCCCCUAAGUCUGGGAUACCAUUUGGAAACAGGUGCUAAUACCGGAUAAUAAAGCAGAUCGCAUGAUCAGCUUUUGAAAGGCGGCGUAAGCUGUCGCUAAGGGAUGGCCCCGCGGUGCAUUAGCUAGUUGGUAAGGUAACGGCUUACCAAGGCGACGAUGCAUAGCCGAGUUGAGAGACUGAUCGGCCACAUUGGGACUGAGACACGGCCCAAACUCCUACGGGAGGCAGCAGUAGGGAAUCUUCCACAAUGGACGCAAGUCUGAUGGAGCAACGCCGCGUGAGUGAAGAAGGUUUUCGGAUCGUAAAGCUCUGUUGUUGGUGAAGAAGGAUAGAGGUAGUAACUGGCCUUUAUUUGACGGUAAUCAACCAGAAAGUCACGGCUAACUACGUGCCAGCAGCCGCGGUAAUACGUAGGUGGCAAGCGUUGUCCGGAUUUAUUGGGCGUAAAGCGAGCGCAGGCGGAAAAAUAAGUCUAAUGUGAAAGCCCUCGGCUUAACCGAGGAACUGCAUCGGAAACUGUUUUUCUUGAGUGCAGAAGAGGAGAGUGGAACUCCAUGUGUAGCGGUGGAAUGCGUAGAUAUAUGGAAGAACACCAGUGGCGAAGGCGGCUCUCUGGUCUGCAACUGACGCUGAGGCUCGAAAGCAUGGGUAGCGAACAGGAUUAGAUACCCUGGUAGUCCAUGCCGUAAACGAUGAGUGCUAAGUGUUGGGAGGU
RNAcentral lists this ribosomal RNA (805 nucleotides) under uncultured bacterium. RNAcentral describes it as "bacterial SSU rRNA". It matches the Rfam family "Bacterial small subunit ribosomal RNA", at positions 58 to 831 of the family's 1533-position model. The record is from RNAcentral.